Molecule: ribosomal RNA, 340 nt
Filed under: uncultured bacterium
Lineage: Bacteria
Description: bacterial SSU rRNA
Rfam family: Bacterial small subunit ribosomal RNA
Source: RNAcentral
AAUCAACGCUGGCGGCGUGCCUAACACAUGCAAGUCGAGCGCGAAAGGGGGAGCAAUCCCCAAGUAGAGCGGCGAACGGGUGAGUAACGCGUGGGUAAUCUGCCUCCGAGUGGGGAACAACAUCGGGAAACUGGUGCUAAUACCGCAUGACAUCGUCGGGUCUUCGGGCCUGACGAUCAAAGCCGGGGACCGCAAGGCCUGGCGCUUGGGAGAGGAGCCCGCGUCCGAUAGGCUAGUUGGUGGGGUAAUGGCCCACCAAGGCGACGAUCGGUAGCCGGCCUGAGAGGGCGGACGGCCACACUGGGACUGAGACACGGCCCGAGACACCUACGGGAGGCAG